This 252-nucleotide ribosomal RNA is filed under the name uncultured bacterium. RNAcentral describes it as "partial 16S ribosomal RNA". It matches the Rfam family "Bacterial small subunit ribosomal RNA", at positions 524 to 776 of the family's 1533-position model. The record is from RNAcentral.
UACGGAGGAUGCGAGCGUUAUCCGGAUUUAUUGGGUUUAAAGGGUGCGUAGGCGGACGCUUAAGUCAGCGGUAAAAUUGCGGGGCUCAACCUCGUCGAGCCGUUGAAACUGGGUGCCUUGAGUGGGCGAGAAGUACGCGGAAUGCGUGGUGUAGCGGUGAAAUGCAUAGAUAUCACGCAGAACUCCGAUUGCGAAGGCAGCGUACCGGCUUCCUACUGACGCUGAAGCACGAAAGCGUGGGGAUCGAACAGG